CCUACGGGCGGCAGCAGUGGGGAAUAUUGCACAAUGGGGGAAACCCUGAUGCAGCGACGCCGCGUGAGUGAAGAAGGAUUUCGGUAUGUAAAGCUCUGUCAGCAGGGAAGAAAAGGACGGUACCUGACCAAGAAGCCCCGGCUAACUACGUGCCAGGAGCCGCGGUAAAACGUAGGGUGCAAGCGUUAUCCGGAUUUACUGGGUGGAAAGGGAGCGUAGGCGGCAGGGGAAGUCUGGAGGGAAAGGCGGGGGCUCAACCCCCGGACUGCUCUGGAAACUGCCAGGCUGGAGUGCAGGAGAGGUAAGUGGAAUUCCUAGUGUAGCGGUGAAAUGCGUAGAUAUUAGGAGGAACACCAGUGGCGAAGGCGGCUUACUGGACUGUAACUGACGCUGAGGCUCGAAAGCGUGGGGAGCAAACAGGAUUAGAUACCCCAGUAGUC
RNAcentral lists this ribosomal RNA (440 nucleotides) under uncultured bacterium. Its description in RNAcentral is "partial 16S ribosomal RNA". It matches the Rfam family "Bacterial small subunit ribosomal RNA", at positions 338 to 795 of the family's 1533-position model. The record is from RNAcentral.